GCUUGGGUAGCUCAGUUGGUAGAGCACUGCCGGCCGAAGUGGGCGUGCGGUUCAAGACCGCAAGACCGCUACGGUCGCAGGUUCGAAUCCUGCCUCGGGCA
Molecule: non-coding RNA, 101 nt
Organism: Schistocerca piceifrons (Central American locust)
Lineage: Eukaryota; Metazoa; Arthropoda; Insecta; Orthoptera; Acrididae
Source: the annotation of a RefSeq genome assembly